Non-coding RNA from Durio zibethinus, 2135 nucleotides. Lineage: Eukaryota; Viridiplantae; Streptophyta; Magnoliopsida; Malvales; Malvaceae. The record is from RefSeq and is a predicted model, not a curated record.
UUUUUUAUAUUUCUUAGUAUUUUAUACAAAAAUAAUAUUUUUUUUUAUUGGAAGUUCGCAUCUUACUUGUCUCGCACUGGCCCUUAUAUCUUUGGUCAUUAUUUUCCCUAUUCUCGGAUACCCCUUUGGUUCUCUAAAAUUUGAAACUCUUUUUUCUUCCAUAUUUAGGCACUGGCCAUGACAUUGGGAUAUCUGUUGGCGGAUGUGUCACAGGCAGCGGUAAUGGCGAUCUCAUACCUUUGGACAAGAACUCUUUCGCUUUUCUUCAUGUUGGUGAUUACAGACGUCUCCAAGUUUUAGAAGGCUGUAAAGGUGUUUUGGGCCCCAAAACAUAUGAGAGUGAUUCUUUAUCAGAAGAGGAAUUGCUUGAAAAUUACAAAAUUCUAAGGCAAAUAUGAUAAUAUCAGCUACAAGCCUAUAUAACUCUCAUUUGAUUCAAUGAUUGUGAGAUACAACAUUAGAUUAGUUUGGUGCAAGAGCCGAGUUGAGAUUCCAAACCAGAAAGGGAUAUGCAAUAAAAAUACUUGCAAUCUAAAAGAAGUGACCGAAGACAUUGGCCGAAGCAUAUGCUUCAUGCAAAUUUUUAGUGAAUGGAGUAGGGCACACCUUGCUGCUGUUAGUGUCUCCUACUAAAAGAUGUUCAGAAAACGAUUAAAGAAGCUCUAGGAUGCUUUGCCUUUGGACAAAGCGGCACCUCAAGUCAAUUGCUGCUGCGUAUUGGAAACCUCAGUUUAAUUCGUUGUUGAAUCCAUUGCAUUCACCGGCCAAUAUAAAUGGAACAGGAAGUGGAAAUAUAGUUUCAUCCCAUAUCGGUAUGUCAUUUAAUCUAAGUUGGAAAUUACACCUCAGCCGUGGUUCGGGAUGGAAGGAUUCCUACUUUCCGCCAGCAGGCGUCUUAAGACACUUAAUGGAGUUCAGCGACAACUCGAGCUCUUGAUUCUAAAGUAACAUCUGCCUCUGAGCCAACAACGAAGGAUGAGCUUCAAUCUCAACUGCAUCUGACCCAACAACGAAGGACAAGAGCUUCAAUUGUUUUUAGAUGUGGGUGCAAAAGUCGAUGUAUUUUCCAGUGUCGAACCAAGAAUCUUCAAAUGGGAAUUAAAAAAAAAAAAUCAGUGCUGAACAGUUGAAGUUGAAACAUUUGAGCAUGAAGUUGGAGAAUACACAGAUGAUGAAGACAAUGAACGUGAAACAUUAAAACUAACUUUAUAAUGUCGUAAUACGAAUUUGUGUGGUAAGGCAACUAUUAGCAGCAAGAAAAGUGGAAGAUAAGGAAGAUUAGCUUCGAGUUGCUAUUUUUUACACUCUAGUCAAGAGCGGUGACAAGUUUAGUAAGCACAUAAUUGAUGGUGGCAGUUCUAUGAAACCGAUAUCAGUCUACAAAUCAAAGUUCGAUCACAUCCGCAGCCUUACAAGAUCACUUGCCUGGAAAAAACCACCAUUCCAGUAACAUAUCCUGCUCUUGUUUCUAUUUCUAUGGGCUAUAAAGAUGAUAUCUGGGUUGAUAGUGUGCCUAUGACUGUUAGAUGUAUUCUUUUCGCUAGACCACGUGCGAAGGCCAAUAUUUAGUACUUUCUGUUCAACAAUAAGAAAGUAGUAUUGAAGAAGCCUAUGCCCGAGGAAGUACUCAAGAAGUAUACCAAGGAAAAUAUGAAGAUUACUGAACCUGCAAAGAUAAGUUUAAGCAGAAAGUAAAUAGAAAGAGGCUAUUGAUGCUUGAGUAGAAUGAUCUACAUCCUAAAUUGUAUGUAUGUCCAAGUAAUUGGAUUUGAGUAAUCGCAGAGGGAUCAUUCAAUAUGCAAAGAUUUCAGUAUCAUAAAUGCAGCAUUAAUGGAUGGACAACUAGGUGAUAUCCAUCCUGUUCCAUACAUGGUGGUUACCUAUUUAAAGAUGCUUUUGCCUUCCAAAUACUUCAUCUCUUCUCCAUCAAGAGAUGAAGUAAUAUUAGACUUACAUUCUGCUGAGGCAGCACAACAUUUUCGACGUGACAAAACUAUAGCCAAGGUGGACAGAUUGAUAAGGCCCAGCUUGCAGAGAGAUGUAGCAUGCAUUGUCCAAAAAUUCAGCACUCGCCAACAUGAUGAAGUUCGUAGGAAAAUUAUAUUUAGCAACAGAAGCUAAGAAAAAAAAAGAGG